GCUCUCCCUCGCUGUCUUCGGCUUGCACCCCCGCGUUCCCCUCGCCAGCGUCACUGCGCGAUCUCGACUCCCCUGCCGUGUGUCCCCGUGUGUGCCUCCGCUGUGCCUCUCUCAGCGUUCCGCCGUGGGCCUUCGAAGAUGGCGUACCCGGUCGGUAUUAUUCUCUACGCGAUCCUCCAGUUCAUCGCGUUCCUCUUCGUGCUGGUCGGUACGCCGAUCGACAUGUUCCGUGGCACCACCAAGGACCUGUUCAACAUAUCACUGUGCAUAACCCUGUGGGGUUCAAAGUUCGAGUGCAAGACCAUCAUGUACGCCAUGCCCACCGACGACCAGUGGAAGUUUUGCCCGACCCGCCUCCAGCAUUUCCACAUAGCCGAGAUUUUGUCCAUCAUCUCCGUCUUCGUGUACGCCCUUGCGGCGCUGCUCGGCUUCAUUAUGCUGUGCUGCUGCUCUUUGCUCCGCUGGCUCUGCCUGGUGUUCAACAUCGCUGGCAUCAUCACGUUGGGCAUCACCUGGGGGUUCAUGGUGGUGGAGUACGGUAGGAAUGAGAGCAGGUUUUGCCCCCCUCUGCGGAAGGACUACAAGUUUGGGGUCGGCUUUGCUCUUUUCAUGGUGGCCUGGGUCCUGAAUCUCAUCGACAUUAUCUUCCUGAUGCUCCCGUGGCAAAUCGGAGAGUCCGGUAAGGGUGACGAACCGGAUGGGCAGGAGGAGGAGGAGGAGUCCAAAAAAGCAACGGAGGAGUAGGAGGGAGAGUGCCGCAGGAAGUGACGGGCAAACGUGGCGGCAGCGCGGCAGCUCCACGACGACGUCCUCGUGGAGGAGCCGGCGGAGCUGAUGCCGGCGGGAAAGACGGAGGGAGCGGAGGCUGCGGACGCUCGCCCCUGACUUUCGCCGGCAUCUCUCCCGCUCUCGCUCGCUGCCCUCUCGUGCGCGCGACCGCUUGCGGGCGUGUUCGCGGUUUCUCCCUCGCCUGCUUUCGUCUUCUCCUGCGUGUGUCCUUUGUGGAGCUUUCCGCCUCCCCCUUCGCUUCUGCCUUUUCGAUCUGCACAGCGAUCUGCGCGUUGUGGUGGGCAGCGCACCCUUGACGGCGACACGCCCAUCGAGGGCCCCCUCCCUCCCCCUCUGAGCCGUCGCCCUCGUUGCCUUCUCCAAAUCGCCUCCCCCUCACGCACACCGCAUGGACUCCUCAAACGGAGAGGUGGAGGGAGGGGGUGUGCGAGGUGCCACAGGUGUGGUGGUGGCAGGGGCAGGAGCCAAGGAGGCUCACGUGUAGGCGCAGCGGGAAGACAGGAGGGCGGCGUCCGUGCGCCCAGCGGCGACACACAGGUGCAUACGCAACGCUAAAGCGAGGCGAUUGCAGCUCUGGCUCCUGAUCUUUCCUUGCGCCCCAUGCACGGCCUACGUGUGUGCGCGCACACCCGCGCGCGCGCAGGUGCGUAGGAGGGGGCACCCCCUUCUUCAGCGAAUGCCCCUUCGGCGUCGCCCCUCCCUUGCUGCGGCGACUCCCCGCGCCCCUCGCGCCCACACGGAGAAGGCGGCACCACGACAGGGAAGCCGUCGGGCGCACUCUCGGUCCUCCGCGGGCCAACGACGCGGUCGGGGUGCGUGCGUGCGCGUGCCUCAAUAUAUGCGAAGUCUUUGUUAUCUCUUUGCCUUCCGUGUGUCGUUUCUUUUUUUUCGCUUCGCUUGUUUGUUUGGUGGCCUCAUCACACCGCCGAGUCCUCCAGACGCGGGUGUAGAGAGUGUCCACACCGUAUUACGGCAUGCCGCGGCUUGAAGCGAGUGAGCGAGAGGCGUGGCAUAUGCAGGCAGAGCACAGGGUCUCAAAGGGCCCUGGCCUGCGGCUGGCCAACGCGACCUCCUUGACGUCGUCCGGCAUGCACCUUGGCCACCGCCUGUUGCCCACACGACUGACGUCGCCGCUUCCGCCCUCGAGCAGGAGCCUGGACGCGGCCCGCCUGGACCGAGGCAUGCCGUCCGCCCGGGUCUCCGUCUGGCGCCGCAAGCGCCGCACGUACCCGAGGAAGGGACGAGCAAGGGCAAGAUGAGCCGGUCAGACGCAGGGCCCCCGGUUGAACGGCAGGCAGUGCGCCCUUGGCGGCCAGGAUGUUGCCGUGGUGCAACAGAGGCGUGCGAGCUGUGGUUGAAUGCGUAUAUUUGUCGACGUGUUCGUGGUGGAGCGAGGCGUAGAGGGGUGCCUCGCUGCCACGGGCGGACACGCAAAACGUCAAUAGCACAUAACAGCAAAACAGAAAAGGGGGAAUGCACGCGCGCGCGCACGCACGCGGACGACAAUGCAGACGUCCUCGAUUUUGCUUGCUCCUCCGACGGCUCCGCAUGCCGGCUCCGCCUGGGACGCCACGGCGUGUGUGCGUGUGUGCGUGCGCCCUUCCCCUUUUCCUUUCUUCCCUCGCCUUGUCUUUUGUUCUGUACGGUGCCUUCCUCG
Molecule: unclassified non-coding RNA, 2446 nt
Filed under: Leishmania donovani
Lineage: Eukaryota; Euglenozoa; Kinetoplastea; Trypanosomatida; Trypanosomatidae
Description: gene:LdHU3.08.0970(CDS-product:Amastin_surface_gl ycoprotein_putative)
Source: RNAcentral